GACGAACGCUGGCGGCGUGCCUAACACAUGCAAGUCAACUUGACUGAAGGAGCAAUCUGACAGUAGAGUGGCGCAAGGGUGCGUAACGCGUAAGUAACUUGCCCCAAGGUAAGGAAUAACGUCGAGAAAUCGGCGCUAAUACCUCAUAAUGCAGCGGAUCCGCAUGGAUAUGUUGUUAAAGGUUUACCGCCUUGGGAUAGGCUUGCGUCUGAUUAGCUAGUUGGUGUGGUAACGGCACACCAAGGCUACGAUCAGUAACUGGUCUGAGAGGAUGAUCAGUCACACUGGAACUGAGACACGGUCCAGACUCCUACGGGAGGCAGCAGUGAGGAAUAUUGGGCAAUGCUCGAAAGAGUAGACCCCAGCAACGCCGCGUGGAGGAUGAAGGUAUUACUAUAUCGUAACUACCUGUGAGAGCAGACGAAGACAGAUUA
RNAcentral lists this ribosomal RNA (434 nucleotides) under uncultured bacterium. Its description in RNAcentral is "bacterial SSU rRNA". It matches the Rfam family "Bacterial small subunit ribosomal RNA", at positions 28 to 458 of the family's 1533-position model. The record is from RNAcentral.